RNAcentral lists this ribosomal RNA (118 nucleotides) under Mastacembelus armatus (zig-zag eel). The record is from RNAcentral. Lineage: Eukaryota; Metazoa; Chordata; Actinopteri; Synbranchiformes; Mastacembelidae.
CAAGGCGGCUAACCGUCCUGCAAGUGCUGGAUCCUGUCUGAUCUUGGAGGCUAAGCAGGGCAGGGCCUGGUUAGUACUUGGAUGGGAAACCAACAUGAAAGACCAGGAGCUGCUAGAU